GGAGCAUUAACGUGCAUUACUUGAGCAUGCUACUUUGCACCUUCCUAUAUCUGAUAAAUUAAAUCCCCAGGCAGCAAAACAAACAAGGUCCAAAACACCAUCCAUAGUAAAGCCAAGUAAAGGCAUCACUGCCGGCUGACGCCAGCGUGACGUCACAUAGCCCAACACAUUGCUCAACACGUUUUGGGUCGGCCUAAAAGCUGGCUUGGAUUGGGUGCUUGCCUAUUUGGAUCGGCUGGAGGGGUUUUAAGGGGUGCUAGCCUAUUUUUCCCACUUUGGACCAUCCUAUGUGCUUGGGUUGGAGUUGCUCUUAAAGUGGCAUGUUUGGAAAAAGAUUAUUACAAUGUUGAUUUUUUCUAUAUUCUAUUAUUUAAAUAUACUAUCAAGAAAAUUUUAUUUAAAAGAAAGAUCAUAUCAACAUAAUAUAAUAAAUAGUUCGAAACAGUUUGAGUUCAAUUUUUUUAAACUCGCUCGAGAUUGGCACGUACAAGAAGCAACUUAAACUUAAAUAUAGUAGUGCUAUUCGGUUUGAGUCGACUCAUUUACAAUUCUAUAUCCAUUCGACUUUAUCAAAUAUAGGACUAAGGCUUGUUUUAUUUAUUUAUUGUUAGUCGAUUUUCAUGUUGCGUCGUUUAAGAAUUCAAUCACCAGAGAUCAAUGUAUAAAAUAUCGAUGAUAUCGGAAAUAUCGGUAGUCCAAAAAUACGGAAAUUUCGAUGGAAAUAUCGGGAUAUUAUCGAUAUCGAUAAAAAUUGAAUAAAAACCACGGAAAUUGUAAGAAAAACUUGAAAAUUUUUAUUGAAACUUUGCAGGAUGUUUAUUUAGUCAAUUAUCUAUUAGUUUAACACAAAAAAUUGGAAGGAAAUACAUUACAUAAUAGAUAUAACUGAUUUAAGUUGAUUAUAUAGCGAGCUGAUAAAUAUUGUGAGUGUAGAAAAUAUGUAGUAAUUAAUGAAAGAAGUUUAAACACACCAUAAUCAUUUAUAUAUAAUGAAUUAGUACAAUAUUUUACACUUUAUACAUUGCAUGGUAAGAUACAUGAGUGACUUAGUAAGGUCUAAAAUAUCGAUGAUAUCGGAAAUAUCGGUAGUCCAAAAAAAUAUCGGUAGUCCAAAAACACGGAAAUUUCAAUGAAAAUAUCGGAAUAUUAUAGAUAUUUUAGACCAUGCUAGAGAUACAAACUUUUAAUAGAUCUUAAUCACCAAAUACCAUGGUAAUCUUCUUUUUUUAGGGAAAUAUAAGGGCUUAAAUUAAAGAGCUAGGGUGGCUACAAUACAACCCGACAAUGAGUUUACAAAGGCUUUGAGUAGUGCGAGAUAGGCUAAUCACCAGAUUGCUCUGGAAUAGAUGAAUCGACGUGUCGGUUUGGGGUAUGGUCAGUUCACUAGGAGGAUCAUCCUCCAAAUUCGAAGUUUUUUCCUGAAAAUUUCAACCUUGUUAACUAUGACAACAAUCGCGACUAUAAUCAAACUCGUGAUUAUAGGAGGGCUGCUCAUGUCACAUCACUAUUCGUGGAUUCGGGCAAUGUGACAGGUUCACCCAAUAAUUCAAACUCAAAUGUGGACAAAAUGAUCUACGUAUGCAAUGACAUAACAAAGCCAUUUUAGUCUUUGCCACUUGGCAGAACUUGAAUUUAAAAAAAAAGAAACAAAUCGUUAAAUCCCAAGUCUCAAAGUAAUAUAUUGAAUCUUUCAGCUCACUGGUUAGUAUCAACUCUCUUCAUCAAUCAUCACCAUCCAUUAUUGGAGGUUGGAGCUUUUUUUUGCAUUCUGUCUAGUCCCCAUGGAAACUAAAUCCCAUAUGCAGCUUCACAUUUUCUUCUUCCCAUAUAUGAUUCAAGGCCACUUCAUACCCCUUAUAAACAUGGCCAAACUAUUUGCUUCUCGUGGUGUAAAAUCCACCCUAAUAACCACCCCUCUCAAUGCACCUCUCUUUUCCAAGGCAAUCCAAAGCAGCAAGAAAUUGGGAUUUGAUGUUGACAUUCUUGUCAUCAAGUUCCCAACUGAGGAAGUAGGGUUGCCUCAAGGAUGUGAAAAUGCUAACUUAGCUACCACCAGGGAGAUGAACGAAAAAUUCAUCAAAGCCACCUUCCUUCUUCAACCACAAAUUGAGCAGAUUUUAUACGAACACCGCCCUCAUUGCCUUGUUGCAGACAAUUUCUUUCCUUGGGCAACAGAUGUUGCUGCCAAGUUUGGUAUUCCAAGGAUCAUAUUUCAAGGCCUCGGUUUUUUCGCUUUGUGUGCUUUUCAUAGUGUGGCGUUGUAUGAGCCUCACGCGAAGCUGUCAUCUGAUUCAGAAGUUUUUACUAUUCCUAGUUUUCCAGUUGAGAUCAAGCUGACAAGAAGCCAAAUCCCGAAUUUUCCCAAGCAAAGUGCUGAAUUCACCAAGUUGUUUAAAGAGGCGAUGGAGAGCGAGGAAAAGAGCUAUGGGUUCAUUGUUAACAGUUUCUAUGAACUUGAACCGGCUUUUGCAGACCAUUACAGGACAGUGUUGGGGAGGAAGGCAUGGCAUAUAGGCCCGGUUUCGUCAGUCAAUAAGGCAGCAGAUGACGAAGCCUUCCUCGAUCGGCACGAGUGCUUGAAUUGGCUUAGUUCUAAGAAACCCAAUUCAGUUGUUUACAUAUGUUUCGGAAGUAUGACCAAAUUCAUUGACUCUCAGCUCCUAGAAAUUGCAGCGGGGCUUGAGGCUUCUGGGCAGGAGUUCAUUUGGGUUGUGAAGAGAGAAAAGAACGAUAAAGAAGAGUGGCUCCCCGAAGGGUUUGAGAAGAGAAUGGAAGGUAAAGGACUAAUUAUAAGAGGUUGGGCUCCGCAAGUGCCGAUUCUUGAGCACCAAGCAAUCGGAGCCUUCGUGACUCACUGCGGGUGGAACUCUAUCCUUGAAGGAGUAUCUGCUGGGGUACCAAUGAUCACAUGGCCCGUGUCGGCUGAGCAGUUUUACAAUGAGAAGUUGGUGACCGUGGUACUGAAAACUGGGGUUGCUGUUGGUGCUAAACAAUGGGGUACACAUCUGGAUGUGAUGACGGAAGCCAGUGUGAAGAGGGAAGCCAUAGAAAAGGCUGUAAAUCAAGUGAUGGUGAGUGAAGAAGCAGAGGGAAUGAGAGGCAGAGCCAGGAUGCUUAGAGAGAUGGCAAUGAGGGCUGUUGAAGAAGGUGGUUCGUCUUUCUCAGAUUUAACUUCUCUAAUUCAGGAAUUGGGGUCCCUUGGAGCAUGAACUACUUUCGACGGAUUAAAUCAUUGUAUACAAUGGAAAAUAGAAAUCUAACAACAUAUUUUUAAGCUCAGUAGACUUGUCUCCCAAGUCACAACUACUGAUACAUACCAACUCUAUCAACCAGUUUCUUCAAUCAAUCUUUUGCCGUGCUAUUAUUUUUCAUCUCCGUUAUUCUCCAUCAUCUGCUAAAAAUUACAUAUCUCUUACUACUUGAAAUGGACAAUAAAACCAACCAACCUCACAUUUUUUUCUUCCCUUGUAUGUCACAUGGCCAUAUGAUUCCAACCAUAGAUAUGGGCAAACUAUUUGCUUCAAGGAGGCAUCAAAACAACCGUAAUUUCCACGCCUCAUAACUUAUCCCCUUCUCCAAAACCAAUGAUGGCUCGUUUAUUAAUCCACUAUCAAAAUGAGGAAAAUUCAAUUGAGAAGAAGCUGGAUUGAGAAAGAAUUAGAAUCAGAUUCCUCUAAAGGUUUUUACUAAAUUGUCUGGAAUCGGGAUAAGAAUGGUGUUGAAUCGGAAUGGAAACCAAUUGAUUACCUUGGUGUAAACAAAUUAUUUUAUGUGAUAAUUAAAUUGAUUAUCAUAUGUAUUCAGACUUGCACAAAGGUUUGCUUGAAUUUAUGAUGAACAUAUUAAUACUUCAUUAUAGAACAUAAAACUCUGAAGUUGGUCCCAAAUUAUAUGUUAAAAAUGCUUCUACUCCGCAAGGAGUUUGCAGCUCAGUUUUAGUUAAAACACAUUCAUCCUCACACCUUGAGGUGCCAAGUUCGAUGCCGAUCCCUCCUCCCCCAAUAGCAGAUGGGUAAAACCCGCGGAGCAUUAACGUGCAUUACUUGAGCAUGCUACAUUUGCACCUUCCUAUAUCUGAUAAAUUAAAUCCGCAAGCAGCAAAAUAAACAAGGUCCAAAACACCAUCCAUAGCAAAGCCAAGUAAGGACAUCACGGCCAUCACGAACGGCUGGGAUUAUUACACACAAUCGUUCCUGGCAUAUGAAAAUGCCCACAACAGCUUCCAACCAUCUAUCACACGAGACCUAACACAACACAGAUCAACUUAAACAGAAGCAG
Molecule: long non-coding RNA, 4278 nt
Filed under: Malus domestica (apple)
Lineage: Eukaryota; Viridiplantae; Streptophyta; Magnoliopsida; Rosales; Rosaceae
Description: long non-coding RNA (MDOM_LNC006396)
Source: RNAcentral